UGUAAUGUGACCUAUUAACUGCGAUGCUAAUUACUUUACUCUAUUUGCCUAACAUGUUCUUAUUCUCCAACACCAAAAACACUGAAUGUUGUAUUAACAGGUAAUGUGUGAUUCCAAACGUAAAUAUAUAUAUAUA
This is a long non-coding RNA of Etheostoma cragini (Arkansas darter), 136 nucleotides long. RefSeq lists it as uncharacterized. The record is from RefSeq and is a predicted model, not a curated record. The transcript is spliced from 5 exons. NCBI's taxonomy places the organism in Eukaryota, Metazoa, Chordata, Actinopteri, Perciformes, Percidae.